RNAcentral lists this unclassified non-coding RNA (281 nucleotides) under uncultured fungus. RNAcentral's name for it is "partial contains 18S rRNA, ITS1, 5.8S rRNA, ITS2 and 28S rRNA". The record is from RNAcentral. Lineage: Eukaryota; Fungi.
AAGGAUCAUUGUCGAUGCCUCGCAAUCAGUUUGACCCGCGAACAUGUUUAUCUAACCGGCAGGGUUGGCUCGGGGCGUCGACGCCUCGGGUCCUCCCCUGCGCCGGGAGGCGGCCGCGCCCUGCUCGGCUUCCUCUCGACACACUCAAACCCCGGCGCUUCGUGCGCCAAGGAAUCCAAAAUCGUUCAGCGCGGCCCGAGGGACCCGGAGACGGCGUUCCGGCGGGCCUGGUCGCGAGACACCAAAAAGAAUGACUCUCGGCAACGGAUAUCUCGGCUCUU